This 96-nucleotide signal recognition particle RNA is filed under the name Gammaproteobacteria bacterium. Its description in RNAcentral is "signal recognition particle sRNA small type". It matches the Rfam family "Bacterial small signal recognition particle RNA". From Rfam's summary of the family: The signal recognition particle (SRP) is a universally conserved ribonucleoprotein involved in the co-translational targeting of proteins to membranes. Archaeal SRP consists of a 7S RNA and homologues of the eukaryotic SRP19 and SRP54 proteins. The record is from RNAcentral. Lineage: Bacteria; Pseudomonadati; Pseudomonadota; Gammaproteobacteria.
UAUUGGUCCUCCCGCAAUGAUAAAUUGUGAACUCCGCCAGGCCCGGAAGGGAGCAACGGUAACGAUCGACUCAUGUGCCGGGAUGUGCUGGUAGGA